GACGAACGCUGGCGGCGUGCUUAAACAUGCAAGUCGAACGGUGAAGCGCCUUCCUUUUUGGUGGGUGUGGAUGAGUGGCGAACGGGUGAGUAACACGUGAGUAACCUGCCCCCUUCUUCUGGAUAACCGCAUGAAAGUGUGGCUAAUCCGGGAUAUUCUGGGUCUGUCGCAUGAUGGGUCUGGGAAAGAUAUUGUUUCGGUGGGGGAUGGGCUCGCGGCCUAUCAGCUUGUUGGUGGGGUGAUGGCCUACCAAGGCGGUGACGGGUAGCCGGCCUGAGAGGGUGGACGGUCACACUGGGACUGAGACACGGCCCAGACUCCUACGGGAGGCAGCAGUGGGGAAUAUUGCGCAAUGGGCGCAAGCCUGAUGCAGCGACGCCGCGUGAGGGAUGGAGGCCUUCGGGUUGUGAACCUCUUUCGCCAGUGAAGCAGGCCUGCCUCGUUUGUGGGUGGGUUGACGGUAGCUGGAUAAGAAGCGCCGGCUAACUACGU
RNAcentral lists this ribosomal RNA (492 nucleotides) under uncultured bacterium. RNAcentral's name for it is "partial 16S ribosomal RNA". It matches the Rfam family "Bacterial small subunit ribosomal RNA", at positions 28 to 506 of the family's 1533-position model. The record is from RNAcentral.